Molecule: long non-coding RNA, 896 nt
Organism: Nicotiana attenuata
Lineage: Eukaryota; Viridiplantae; Streptophyta; Magnoliopsida; Solanales; Solanaceae
Exons: 2
Source: RefSeq, a predicted model, not a curated record
CCUACCCCUCCCCCCUCCCCAAAAAAACGGUGUCUUACAAGCCUAGACACCUCUCAUCUCUCCUUACUGUGUAUCUGCCAUCCCCCGAUACCGAAAAUUGCCCAUGGCGGUGGCACAACCCAAAAUCCACCAAAAUCUUCACCCCACAAUCCCAAGACUCUCCCCAGUCCCAAUGUACCGUUGAUUUCACCAGAAAACCCCUCAAAAGCAUUGAAUAGCAGAUCUAGGUUUUUGACCGAAAACCUAAAUUAGUCUUUUUCUCGAUUUUCUUUCAAAUCUUGUUCUGUGAGUUUGAAAUCGAUAUCCAUCAAUUGCUCUUGACAAGAGCAAUCGAGUGAUGGUAGUUUUAACUCAUUGCAUAAACAUCGGAGCUCGGUCAAAACGCUGUUGACCAGCUAGUGGCUCUUCAAUGUCCCAGUUAAGCUCAUUCCCGGCUUGCUGGAGAUCCUUUUAUCAACCUGUUGAAACCUAGUAGUUGUUGUUUAGUGCCGCUUGAUUCAACAGAGAACUCAGGGCAAUGAAGCGCACGCCUCAGCCUUACACACUGAAGUGCAACUAAAGCGAGGUGUAGCCCGCUCCUCGAGCUUUUCUGAGCUUCUGGGAAGCGUGCCUUAAAUGAGCCUUUGACAACACUGGCUUGCAUGUCUACUUGUUUCAGUAUUUUCUUUUAUUUCCUAGCCUGUUAUACUGUAUUGAUAAUGCUUUCAUAUGUGUGGUUUCCACAAACUGAGGCUGCAAUCAUUCCAUUUCUGCGUGGAUGAUGGUCGAGAACAAAGAUUGUUGAUUUUCCACUGCAGGCUAAGUAGUGUCUUAUAGCUUCUGAAAAAAUGGUUGAAAAGCAAAUGUUUACCACCCUUUUGGCAAAAUAGUUAAUCAGAAAUUAUGAUCUGUCGGUA